Molecule: long non-coding RNA, 1417 nt
Organism: Stylophora pistillata
Lineage: Eukaryota; Metazoa; Cnidaria; Anthozoa; Scleractinia; Pocilloporidae
Source: RefSeq, a predicted model, not a curated record
UUCAAAAAGGACUCGGAUGUCUACAAACGUUUUAACGUUUCACUAAGGACAAGAAGAGCCGCCUGUCGUCGAUCGCAGGGCUGAGAUUUUGUGGCUAGACAAUCGAAAUGAAAGGUUAACCUUUGCACUUGAAAUCUGCGGUGGAUUUGUGGCCGUGGGUACAUUUUAGCUCGGGAUUUUUUACUUCGUUCGGGAGGCUGUCUGGACAGAAGUGUUCGACCUAGUCUUCUCUUUAAUAAGAGAAAACCAGGAUUAAAAAAAGACCGCUUAAAUCAAGUGAAACCAGGAGCAAGCAACACACGUAUCGAAUAAGGAUAUCUGUCUUUGGGGCACACACACACACACACGAGUUUUCCUAUUUGGUUUCGCUCUCUGAAAAGUUACCAUGAUUUCAGUUCAGUAUGAGAGCUUGAGCUAAGAAGCUAAGAAGAUAAGAAGACUGCAACGAAAGACAAACCAAGCGAGUAACAUUGACUGUCUGCCACGACAUGCUUUAGCGGCACAACACAACACAAACAAGCGGGGGGCAAAUUACGAAAAAUGAUCCCCUCUGGCCUGCUGACCUUGUCAGAAGACUAAUAUACCGUAUUCAUAUCUGUCUCUUUUGUCAUUCAUAUCUGUCUUUGGCGCGACAAACGCACUCAAAGAGAUGAAAAACAUCUAAUUCAGCGCUCCCUUAUAAUAUUUUAAUUGACUUUGCAGGAAGCAGCAUUGUCCAGUUUUUUCAUUCGUGUUUGUUCUUACCAAGAAACAAACCGCAGAGUAAGUUACUUGCAAAACCAGAGGCUGGAGCCGGAAGUCAGCGUACAGCAUUCAAAUUUGCAUUUUGUUUUAACUUAAUUUCCGUGCAAGGCUGAACGUAAAGUCGCUGAAUUCUUUUGUGCCUAAGAUGUAGGCGAGACAACCCCUCAUACACAAAAUUCCAACGUUUCCUCUUCUUUAGCCGGAAAUGCACCAACAGCUUAUGAUCACAAAUUUUAAACCACAUUGUGUUUGGAGAUACUUCACUUGUAGUUAGCUUGUAUCCGUUUAUGAAAACGUAACGCAGUCGGCCGAGUAAGAUCAAAUUUGACAUUUGUGACAAAUGUCAAAGCGCUCGGGUUGUUGAUUCUUGCCUUUGUUUAACUACUUACUCAAAUUUGUGAGACGAUUGCGUUGUUAUGGGUCCAAGGUGACUGGUUGCGUUAAUAAUAAAUACUUCUGUUAACAAGUAACCUGGAUCAGUCAUGCUCAGCAAAUUCACGUGUGCGAAAUGAGAGGUGUUAUCAUUACUGGCUUAUGUUCUUCAGCUUUGACGGCUAUGGGCUACUGCUUCCCGUUUAGUUGUUCCGCCUUUUUGGAUGUCAAUAUUGAUUUGCGGCUAAAUGUUUGAUGUAUUUCUUUUUUGCGCGAUAAAUGUCAUUAAUAUUGGAGUCAA